GACGAACGCUGGCGGCGUGCUUAACACAUGCAAGUCGAACGGAAAGGCCCUGCUUUUGUGGGGUGCUCGAGUGGCGAACGGGUGAGUAACACGUGAGUAACCUGCCCUUGACUUUGGGAUAACUUCAGGAAACUGGGGCUAAUACCGGAUAGGAGCUCCUGCUGCAUGGUGGGGGUUGGAAAGUUUCGGCGGUUGGGGAUGGACUCGCGGCUUAUCAGCUUGUUGGUGGGGUAGUGGCUUACCAAGGCUUUGACGGGUAGCCGGCCUGAGAGGGUGACCGGCCACAUUGGGACUGAGAUACGGCCCAGACUCCUACGGGAGGCAGCAGUGGGGAAUAUGGCACAAUGGGCGGAAGCCUGACGCAGCAACGCCGCGUGCGGGAUGACGGCCUUCGGGUUGUAAACCGCUUUCGCCUGUGACGAAGCGUGAGUGACGGUAAUGGGUAAAGAAGCACCGGCUAACUACGU
RNAcentral lists this ribosomal RNA (467 nucleotides) under uncultured bacterium. RNAcentral's name for it is "partial 16S ribosomal RNA". It matches the Rfam family "Bacterial small subunit ribosomal RNA", at positions 28 to 506 of the family's 1533-position model. The record is from RNAcentral.